Long non-coding RNA from Macaca mulatta (Rhesus monkey), 864 nucleotides. RefSeq lists it as uncharacterized. NCBI's taxonomy places the organism in Eukaryota, Metazoa, Chordata, Mammalia, Primates, Cercopithecidae. The record is from RefSeq and is a predicted model, not a curated record.
CAUGAGGGCAGUGAAACCUUGAUGAAGACAGACUCCAUCGAGACUUUGAGAAGGAUGACAGCAACAAACUUUGAGAAGGAUGACAGCCAGAACAAAACCAAGUAGGGAAUAUCCACUGGAGUUGAAGGAAGAAGCCUAAAGCCGGGGACUCUAUCAUUAGAGAAGACUUGAAGGAGAAAGAGACAAGGCAAAUUCCCGGUAAAGGAAACGAUUACACUGCCAGCAGAAACUCAGCAGUCAAGAGACAGUGGCAUCAACACUUUAAAGUGCUCAGACAAAAUAACCGUAUGAAGUGAGAGUCACUGUUAAAAACAUUUGAAAGCAAAUUUUCCAGCAACCAAUGAAUGGAAGCAAUCCAUGCUAAGAAGGACACCAGUGAAGCCCUGUAUGGUAAUGUUACCAACAAACCAGAACACAGACGUCACAGGCUCCUCAUCACUGGACCGAAGAGUUACUCCCACAGGGAAAGACAAUGGGAGGCACUGGGCAAACGCACCUUGGCUGCUACGGUGAGACAAAAACUCUCCUUUCUGCACCUCUUUAAAAUAUGUCUAGAAAAUAUUAGUCAAUGAAAUAUUUGUAACAUUCUGAAGCAUGACUUUCCUGAAUGCAAAAUAUCCAAGACGUGUUUCAGGCUCAGGGCCUUUCCCUUCUGUCUUCUUGGAAUACAGACAGUCAGCAUGGUGUGCUGGUCAUGCUCUUUAGGUCUUUGUUCCAACUGUCACCUUCUCCCUGGAAUUCUAUUUAAAACUGCAACAACCUGGCCGGGCACGGUGGCUCACGCCUAGUAAUCCCAGCACUUUGGGAGGCCAAGGCAGGAUCACCUGAAGUCAGGAGUUUGAGACCAGCUUGGCCAACAUGGAG